GAAGGAGCAAAUUGUGAAUCGCAAUUUGUGUUGCAACUUUUGAGAAUAACAUGUGUCGAAUUUGCAACUCUUUGAGAAGCUAUAUAUAGCUUCAACAGACAUGUAAAAAAAACACAACUAAAAAACUCAAAACAACACUUAAUCUCCAUCUCAUUCAGUUCAUUAUUACAGUUUCAUAGAAGAUGGACUCACAACAAAACUUGAGCUACAAUGCUGGACAAGCCAAGGGCCAAGCUCAGGUCUUCCUCCACCUCUAGCUUCAGUUGGAAAAUUAGUGUUUUUUAAUGUCCUACAUUGCCUAAUUGUUGAGCUUUUAAAAAGUUUAAAUUACUUCAAUAUUUCCUUUAUGACAUUUAUUAACAAGUUUUUAUGCAAUUUCAGGAAAAGGCUAGCAGCAUGAUGGAUAAGGCUAGCAAUGCAGCUCAGUCUGCUAAAGAAUCAAUGCAACAGGUUAUUUAGAUAGAAUAUUUGUUUUCUCAUUUAGAUAGAAUUUAGAUAGAAUUUUUGUUUUCUCAUUUGGACAUUUGGAUAGAAUUUUUGUUUUCUCAUUUUCAAGGUACAGUGAUAUACAUGUUUAAUCAAAAAAAUAAAAAUAAAACUUUUUUUAUUUUGUAUAUGUAGGCUGGACAGCAAAUGCAGGAGAAAGCACAAGGAGCUGCUGAUGCUAUGAAGAAUGCAACAGGGACCAACCAAGGAAGAUAAAUGGAUGAUCAUCGUGCCAGAUUUUGUUUCCCUUUAAAUAAGCUAUGUUCUGCUGAUUAGUAUAUUUUGCAAAAAUAUGCAAAUUCCAUUUUAUAAUUUCCAAUGCAAUCAUUUUCCAUCAUCAAUUUUGUAAUACAAUUUCAUGAAUGAGUAGAAUAAAUUUUCAAAUUUGAAUGCCUGUAUUUCUUGAUGCUACC
RNAcentral lists this long non-coding RNA (899 nucleotides) under Lotus japonicus. Its description in RNAcentral is "long non-coding RNA (LJAP_LNC001640)". The record is from RNAcentral. Lineage: Eukaryota; Viridiplantae; Streptophyta; Magnoliopsida; Fabales; Fabaceae.